Molecule: ribosomal RNA, 253 nt
Filed under: uncultured bacterium
Lineage: Bacteria
Description: partial 16S ribosomal RNA
Rfam family: Bacterial small subunit ribosomal RNA
Source: RNAcentral
UACGUAGGUGGCAAGCGUUGUCCGGAAUUAUUGGGCGUAAAGCGCGCGCAGGCGGUCCUUUAAGUCUGAUGUGAAAGCCCACGGCUCAACCGUGGAGGGUCAUUGGAAACUGGGGGACUUGAGUGCAGAAGAGGAAAGCGGAAUUCCACGUGUAGCGGUGAAAUGCGUAGAUAUCUGGAGGAAUACCGGUGGCGAAGGCGGCAUCCUGGACCAUUACUGACGCUGAGGCGCGAAAGCUAGGGGAGCAAACAGG